RNAcentral lists this long non-coding RNA (642 nucleotides) under Rattus norvegicus (Norway rat). RNAcentral describes it as "long non-coding RNA NONRATT000627". Lineage: Eukaryota; Metazoa; Chordata; Mammalia; Rodentia; Muridae. The record is from RNAcentral.
AGCGUUAUGAACUUUCGACUGAGCUCAGUGAUCUCCUCCUGCUGCUGGCAGCACCCCCACCAUUACUUAGCACUGAGACAGGAGUCUUGCAUUGCUGUCCUCUGAGUGGAUCCACCUAGCAGCUGACUCUGACAGAUGUAGACACCCACAGCCAAACAGUGGAUGGAGCUUAAAGACUCUUAUAAAAGAAUAAGAGGAAGAAUCACAGCCCUGAAGGAUAGGAACUCUACAGGAAGAUCAACAGAAUCAACUAAACUGGACCCUUAAAACUCUCAGAGACUGAACCACCAACCAAAGAACAUACAUGGAAUGGACCUAGGCCUCCCCUCACACAUGUACCAGCUUGAUCUUCAUGUAGGUUCCCAACAAUCGGAGCAGUGGCCAUCCAAAAAGCUGUUGCCUGCACAUGGGAUAUGUUCCUCUAGGUGGGCUGCUCCAGGCUUGUCUGGCUGCAGUAGGAGAGGAUGAGCCUAACCUUGCAGAGACUUGAUAUGCGGGGUUUGGGGGGAUACCCAGGGGAGCCCCCACCCACUCAGAGAGGGUAUGGGGAAAGCAAUUUUGGUAGAGGGUGACUGGGAAUGGGGCAGUGAGAAGGAUGUAAAGAAAAUAAGGGAAAAAUAAAAUGAAAUAAAUAUAAAGGGG